Chelonia mydas (Green sea turtle) is the source of this 3238-nucleotide long non-coding RNA. RefSeq lists it as uncharacterized. NCBI's taxonomy places the organism in Eukaryota, Metazoa, Chordata, Testudines, Cheloniidae. The transcript has 5 exons. The record is from RefSeq and is a predicted model, not a curated record.
AGCAGGAAUCCAGGCAGAAGAGGAAUAGGGUAGGCUGUUAUUAUUAUUUACUAUUUAAUUAUUACUCUAGGCAGAAGUUCUAUGGUGAAGCAGAGCACAAGAAAUGACCUAAAUUAGGUGCCUACGUAUGAAUUAAAAUGUGUGUGUGACUGCAUGUGUGUGUGGGAGGGAUCUUACGUUUUCCCAGAUUUCUGCUGCAGAAAUGAAUCCCAGCUGCUUAAUCCCUUCAGCCCUCGCAAUCAAUUUCCAUAAGGUUUCAUUUUCAAGCCACUCUUUGCAAGGAAAUAGUCUGGAAAGGUUUUUUUUUUAAAAAUUAUUAAUUAAAGCUGAGCUGUUUCAUGAAGCUCAAAUGCCAGCUCUCUAAACAAGAAGUUUGCCUGAGCUCCGAUCCCCCUAAGCUACAUUUUGAACUUAAGAUGAACUAUUGUAUAUACAAGGUUUUGCAAAGCCCAGCUGAAAUGUUCCCAUUUUGUAAUCUUAAUUCCAGUACUUUUUUUUUUUUUUUUGAGGGAGUGCCAGGACAAGUAAGCCUCAAAGUGAAAGUUUAGCUAAGAAUAAAAGUGAUACCUCUCCAUUUUAUUUGUCCCAGCUGGGUGAAAUACAAAAAGCAAGCAAUCAGCAUUAAUAGUAGAAAGGAAAUCAAAUAUUUUAAAAUCUUGUACUUUAAAUAUGUAAACUUAUUACACAGGAAUUUUAAAAAACAACACAUGAUUUUAAUCUGACAGUGUCUCUUUAAGUAGUUUCAUUUUUUUGCUAGUCAAUGCCAGGGGUUUGAAAAGACCUCAGGCUUCUGUCAGACAUAGCUAUACCUCAGCCAGAUCAUGUGUGAUCCUCUGACCCAGUGAACAUCUCAGAGGUCUGCAUCAUUUGAUUAUAGCAUCACAUAUUUGACAAAAAGCUCCACCCCUUACCAGGGAGCAGCAGCAGCAGUUUUUAGGGGAAGAUAGAGGAGAGGCAACUGGACAGAAUUACAGCUGAGGGGAGGUUGUUGCCUGUCUCUAUUAGGGAGAAGAAGGGGACACCUGCUACUAACUCUGUCUUGGGAGGCUUCAACAAGCUGCAGAGGUCAAACAGGAAGAAAAUCCUCUGUCAAAAUGAAGGCAAAGAUCUUUACAACGAGCAUAAGAAAUGACGAGUGCCGUUGCAUAGCCCUCGCCAUCCAAGGCAGAAUGAGACUAGUCGCUGGAGUUGUGGUGCUGGAGUCUGCAUCAGGAGAUGAGGUGCCCAAGUAGCCAGCACUGCCACUAAUUUCCAUUGCUGUUAAUCUGAGUGUGAAAGACCAAUCCAUCAUCCCAGAGUGAUGGAUGUGGGAGGUGGCUAGACCUGAUAACUCACAGGGACAAGGGGAGAAGAAACAAUCACUUCUCUCUGGAAAGGAAAGGAUGGCCAAGUGAUUAAAGCACUAAACUAGCACUCAAGUGCCUGGGUUCAAUUCCUGUCAAAUCACUUAAUGUUUCUAUCCCUAUUUUGCAGAAGGAAAAAUAAUACACCCCUACUCCACAUGGGUGUUGUGGGGAUAAAUUAUUAACAUUUGCGGAGUGAUGGUACACUUUGGUGAUAAGGGCUGUACAAAUAGACAGAGAUCUUGAAAAUAACAAAAUAAAUAAUGCUUUACCCCUGCCAAAGCUCUUGGCAACUGAACCAAACAAAUACAAAGAAACCCAUGGAUCCUUCAAAAUACAAACACAUAGCAACAACCACAGGGCUGAAAUAAAAGGAAUGAGAUAUGAAAUUAAAUGAGAUACGAAAUAAAAGGAAUAAGAAAAAAUGGAUGGACAGGGACAUCAAUAUUAGGUCAGAUUUCCAAGUGCUCGGCACCAGCAACAGGGGCCAGAUUUUCAAAAGAGCUCCUCUCCAAUUUAGUCAGCUACACAAGGUCCAAUGUUUUCAAAGUGUUCAGCAGCGCUCAUGGUGACGUUUCUGGGCAGAUUUUUCAAGAGCUCAGCACGCAAUAUAUUGAGCUCUUUUGAAAUCUGGAAACGUUAGCUCUUUUGAAAAUCUGAUCCAUAUUGUGCUAACCUGAUGGGAUCUGACUUACAAGGCAUUGCAAACAAGCGGUUUAAUUUUUCUCCCUCUCCUCAUUCCCAGAAAAUUGCAACACAUUAUUUUCUCCUUCUCACUGUGGAAUCCAACUCUGCACUGCUAUAAAGAUGAGAAGAUCAGUUGGGGAGGGAUGUUCUUGCAAACAGUCUGUUUCCCUCUACUGGAAGUAGCAGAAUAGAACAGUUCUAAGGUAUCAGCUGAUUUGCAAAGCAACUAUAAAACCAAGUCUGGAAACUUACAGGAAAGGUGAAACUGCAUCUUUUGUGAUCAGAGCUCUCAGACUGUGCUCCAGGAGAUGGCAGUCUCAGCAAGCAGGAAACUUGUUCUCCAGCAGACAUGCAUUCUUUGUUUUUUAAGUUCAUACAGUUGUGGGGCUUUUCUCAUAAUCUUUAUCUUUCAAAGAAGACCAGCAGCCUGUGUGUUUGACAAAUAUUUGUAGAGUACUGUAAAUUCAUAUAGACUUCAAAAUGACCUUUGAGUGAAAACUGGAGCAGAUUCCCACACAGAAAGGAAUUGGGUUUAGUUACUAUUUUUGUAUACAAAACCUGUAUAAACAGAAGAUAUUUAAGUGUAUUCCCUAAAUACUUCACCUCCAGAACUGUGGUUGGAAUAGUAUAGCUGCAUGUUCUCUUUAUCACAGCUCUUCAGAUCUGCUAUCAAGGGCCUGAUCCGUCUCUCCUUACACUGGCAGAACUGCCAUUGACUUCCCAAGCUCCAUGGACCUUAGAGGAUCUACAGGAGUGAAGGGGUAUCCCUUUGUUUUGGUGCAGGCUCUGAAGCUUUGGCACCCCUUCUUUACCAAUAUCGGUUACCUUCCUUACCCGGGGCUCAAUCCUGCAAGACACUGAGCAAUUCUUGGCAGUGUUAAGCGUUCAGUGGGAGAAAAGCAGUUAUAGGUCACUUAGCCCAGAAUCCUAGGGGAAGGCUUCCCAGGAGCUGGAGGAUUUUAGCCUUGGAUAUUUUUUCCUGAAAUGAACAACUUGGCAACAUAAAGUUGAACUUUUGCAAUGUUUUGGUAGCUCCGAAUCUGCAUUUUUCAGCUGAAAAAUUUCACCCAGCUCUACCCAAGAGACAGAAUCAAAACACCAUGGACUUGAACAUCCAAUCAGGUUCAAACAAUGAAUGUAAAGUAGUUUCAGAUGUUUCAUCUGUUCUGGAAUCCCCUGCAAAUUACAGUCAUUUUUUCCUAUUUUUA